UCUCUAGAUGUACAGAUAAGAGAGGCGAACCAUCUAUCAAAACUUUCAGGAAAUUGCUUCUACUCAUCAUCAUCCUCGUCAUCAUCGCCUACAACUGCAGAGUUCAGGGCAUUCAACCGCUCAAUCAACUUUGCCUUCCUCUCUUCAUAGGUUAACUUCUUCAAGUUGUACCUGAAAUGCAAACACA
Telopea speciosissima is the source of this 187-nucleotide long non-coding RNA. RefSeq lists it as uncharacterized. NCBI's taxonomy places the organism in Eukaryota, Viridiplantae, Streptophyta, Magnoliopsida, Proteales, Proteaceae. The transcript has 3 exons. The record is from RefSeq and is a predicted model, not a curated record.